UGUGUGGCAUACUGCAUAAUUCAGGAUGAAAGGAAAUGAUUGGCCACAAUUGCAUCCUGCAUAUUUUCCUUUUAUUAAUGCUACGUGGCUGGCAUUUACCCUUUCAUGAGCAGGCUUAGCAGCAGCAGCUCCUUGAGCUUUAAUCAAGUACUGUUUCGACAAUACAAAAUACAGCAAUCUGUCAUUAAUUACUCUUCAGGCAGCUGCUGAACUGGACUUUCAAUGCAAUGAAAUGUUUACUUUUGAUAGGCUGCAGAAGCUGGGGAAUUAGCUGCAUGAUACUGUGCCGCACCAAAUGAAUAUGUUGCCUGCCCUGAAGGAGUAUCAGAAUAAUAGAGUGGCAACUGACAUGUCAGGAAAAAAACGCUUUAUCCACUACUUACUGCCACGGCUCCAUCUCAAUCUCUAAGUGUACUGUCAGUGAAAUGCUUUUCUUCUCUUGACAGGCUUGUGUCUUGGUAAAAUCAGUCAUUUAAUGAACACACGAUUUCUAUCAUUUUCAAGGUUUGGUCUGCUCUGACAGGCAGCCUAACAGAUGGAGUGUGGUGUUGCAGCAAGGAAGAUGGAGGAGAUCAUUGGUUUGAAAAUUCUUCAAUCAACGAGGCCAGACUACUGACGUUUAGGAACUCUGCAGCCCAAGGGUAUCAAUGUGGAUUUCACAAGCUUCAAAAUCUCCCCUCCCCCGGCCACAUGCCAAAACCAGCCCAGCUGGUCCCCGCCUCCUUAACCAUUCCUCCCACCUCAAGCCCCACCCCCAUCCCCGACCCGCUGACCUCAUCCCGUCCCCCUAACCUGUCUGUCCUCCCUGGACUGACCUAUCCCCCCUAACUCCCCACCAACAUUCACCUUCACUGGCUCUAACCCCGCCUCUUUGACCUGUCUGACUCCUCUCACCUACCUUCUCCUUUAUCCAUCUUGUAUCCGCCUCCCCCCAUCUCCCUAUUUAUUUCAGAAUCCCCUUUCCCUCCCCCAUUUCUGAAGAAGGGUCCCGACCCGAAACAUCAAGCUUUCCUGCCCCUCUGAUGCUGCUCGGCCCACUGUGUUCAUCCAGCUUCACAUUGUGUUAUCGAAGUGCAAAGAUGCCUAGGUACAGAUUCUAAACAACAAAUACGAAGGAAACAAAGCCAGGGAAGUAAAGAAAUAAAAAUUCCAGCAUUACAGAUUGAAGGGAUAAAUUAGAAAAAUAAAGAAAAGGAAAGUUCAGAAUAACAGUCUUUCCAACCCAGCCCAUGCUGGCACCUAGCCUCCAGUAAUUGGAAGGCAGACCUCCACUGCCUCACCACUGCCUGUGCCACAAUCACCAAUAUCAGAGUUGGCACACUUUAUACACCAUCUCUUCACUGCUGGGCCCGCCUUGCUGACACCUCUGUACCCACAUUACCCCACAACCAGGAGCCCACAGCUCCGUUAUCGCUGCUGCCUCACUGAUAACCAGGACCCCCUGAUCCAGGCAUAACACUGCCUCGCCAGCGGCAGGACCUCCUGCUCUGGGCCCACGGCCAACAUGAGUCCCUGGCUGUGCUGCCAGGCCAGGGCCUGCAGAUGUCGCCUUACCGGCACUGCUAUGUUAAACAGUCCCUUGCCUCCAGGCCUGCUGCCCAGUCACCAGGAGAAGCUGCCUCCCCGCGCUCUACACAUGGCCUGUUCUCGCUGCCACGCCGAUCCUGCCAACUAACCCGCCACAGAAAAGGAAAACAAAACAGAAGAAUAUGGAAGAGAAAAAGAGAAGAUACAAAAGUUAAAAAAACAAAGCAGAUGGGAGCGAAUGAGCCCGGGCCGUGAGCCUGCAUGCAGCCCUGCUACUCCACCGCCAUCUGGAAAUUCACCACCAUCGUAGGUUCGAUCUCAAAUAAUGACCAGAUAAAGUACAGAAAAAACUUAGAGUGCUUAGCAUUAUGGUGUAAAGACAACAAUCUCUCCAUCAACGUCAGCAAAACAAAGGAGCUGGUCAUUGACUUCAGGAAGAGGGCAUGCCCCUGCCUACAUCAAUGGUGCUGAGGUGGAGAUAGUCAACAGCGCCUGGAAUGAUGAUCACCAACAAUCUAUCCUGGUCCACCCACGUUGGCACAAUGGUCGAGAAUGCACAAUAAUGCCUCUACUUCCUCAGAAGGCGAAGGAAAUUUGCCAUGUCCAUAAAGACUCUCACCAAUUUUUACACACGCAACGGAAAAGCAUCCUAUCUGGAUGCAUCACAGCAUGAUAUGGCAAUUAUCCUUCCCAAGGCUGCAAGAAACUACGGAGCUGUGAACAUGGCCCAGUCCAGCAUGCAAACCAGUCUCCAAUCCAUAGACCCCAUCUAUUCUUCCAGCUACCACAAGAAAGCAACCAACAUCAUUGAGACGCCUCCCACCACAGUUAUACUCUCUUCCACCCUCUUCUGUUGGGCAGCUGAUAUAAAAGUUUGAAUACAUAUAUACAAACAAAUUCAAGAAUAGCUUCUUCCCUGUUGUUAUCAGACUUUUGAACAGAUCUCUGCAUUUUCUGUGUGGCUGUAAUAGUGUAUUCUGCACUCUUCUGCUACCCUAGUAUACCUUAUAUAGUGCAAUCUGCUUGUAUAGCAUGCAAAACAACACUUUUCCCUGUAUCUUGGUACAUGUGAUAAUUUUAAAAAUUGCAAUCCUUGUGUUGUUAUUGCAUCUACAUUUGAUUUUCAUUCAUGCAUUUUAUUGUUCUGUUACCACAUCCUCUGGAAUUAUCAUGGUUCCGGACUGUAGGAUAAUGCACUAAUUCAUGGUAUUUUGCUACAUGCAGACUGAGUUGCUUGAUUUUCUCAGAAGGGACAAUAGAUCUUAAAAUAUUAAUGCCAGCACGUGAUGGAGAGACAGAAUGAAACAGCUCCAACAGCUGAGGCUCUGCUUCACUCUGGGGAGAAUCACCCAGCCUCUCAAACAUCAGCAUGUUACAGCUCCUGAAGCAGAUUUAAUUUAUUAGCCAAAUUUACGGCAAAUAGAUUAUCUCUGUCUUGGUAAUAAACUUGACAUGAAACAUGCACCUCAUGAAUAACAGAUAGUUGGUAAAUGCAUGAAGGCGACUAUUUUCUCAGUAUUCGUUCUUAGUUAAGCAGGCGCAUCACUUAUCACUUUACCCAUACUCCUCACAGAAUUUCAAACACAUCAAACAAAGCCUGUUAUAGGCUUUCCGAAUGUGGCUGCUGCUGUGCUUUUAUUAACUUUCGUGUCUAUUUGCCUGCGUCUUCUUUCAAGUCAUUUUAUUUAUUUUAACUGGAAGACAGAACUCCAUGAUGUUGAUGUAUUGAGAGGAGGGAACACUCCCAAGAGGUGGGUGGACCGAUUGCAGGAAGGGAAAUCUCACAGUAAAGAUCUUUACAUUUAGAGCAGGUUCUGUUUAAACAGGUUUUUGCAUUUGUCAAAGAACAUUAUUAAAAUGUGUUUGCCUCACUGCCUUUGAGCUUGGCAGAAAUGAAUCUAUUACACUGUAGGGAACAUCGCUUACUUAAUCGUUUAAUUUUAGCACGAUGGAUAUUAAAAAUGAAGAAAGCAAUACUUCAACUAAAUAAUCCUGAAUGGCAAUUGGCCCUGUGGUACACAAUUCUUGAUUAAAAAUUAUAAAGGAAUUUAAAAUAAAAUAGAAUCGAGCCC
Long non-coding RNA from Stegostoma tigrinum, 3599 nucleotides. RefSeq lists it as uncharacterized. The record is from RefSeq and is a predicted model, not a curated record. Lineage: Eukaryota; Metazoa; Chordata; Chondrichthyes; Orectolobiformes; Stegostomatidae. The transcript is spliced from 3 exons.